Molecule: long non-coding RNA, 134 nt
Organism: Hibiscus syriacus
Lineage: Eukaryota; Viridiplantae; Streptophyta; Magnoliopsida; Malvales; Malvaceae
Exons: 3
Source: RefSeq, a predicted model, not a curated record
AUGAUUUUGGGUGUUGUCUUACAAAAGCGAAAGGUAAGAAUGUAAAAGUGGCGAGUUAUAUUGAAAGGCUAUUGUUACAGAUGAAUGAAUGAUGAUUACAUUAGAGUCAAAAUAAGCAUUUGAUGUUUCUUUUU